RNAcentral lists this unclassified non-coding RNA (432 nucleotides) under soil metagenome. Its description in RNAcentral is "partial contains 5.8S ribosomal RNA, internal transcribed spacer 2, and large subunit ribosomal RNA". The stretch from base 1 to 120 matches the Rfam family "5.8S ribosomal RNA", at positions 35 to 154 of the family's 154-position model. The record is from RNAcentral.
GAUGAAGAACGCAGCGAAAUGCGAUACGUAAUGUGAAUUGCAGAAUUCAGUGAAUCAUCGAAUCUUUGAACGCAUAUUGCGCUCUCUGGUAUUCCGGAGAGCAUGCUUGUUUGAGUAUCAGUAAACACCUCAACUUCCAUAUCUUUUUUGAAAUGGGAGUUGGACUUGAGUGAUCCCAACGCUUUUCCUCACCGAAAAGUGGCGGGUUACUUGAAAUGCAGGUGCAGCUGGACUUUUCUCUGAGCUAUAAGCAUAUCUAUUUAGUCUGCCUAAAAAACAGAUUAUUACCUUUGCUGCAGCUAACAUAAAGGAGAUUAUUUCUUGUGCUGACUGAUGCAGGAUUCACAAAGACGGCUUCGGCCGACUUUGUAAACUCGAUCUCAAAUCAAGUAAGACUACCCGCUGAACUUAAGCAUAUCAAUAAGCGGAGGA